Long non-coding RNA from Homo sapiens (human), 601 nucleotides. The record is from Ensembl. Lineage: Eukaryota; Metazoa; Chordata; Mammalia; Primates; Hominidae.
CAGGGCACAACCAUCAGACGAAGUGGGAGGAAGAAACAUUAACUUCAACAGCUGUUUCUUGACCCCGGCUGUCAGUCUUCCCAAGAAUAAAUUUUGGAGAGUCCUAUUUGAAACAAAGAGGGAGUUUUGGGGGAGAGAAAAGUUGGUUGGUUCCAGGGCGACCGCCCAAAGAAGCAGGGAACAAGAUGUUUGCAGUUACCACGCAGCCUGCAAGCCUCUGCCGGGUGCAGGGAUGGAGCAAAGUAACUUGAAAGCUCCCCUCUCGGCGCCCUGUGCCUGCAGCUUCCCCCCCUAACGCGCGCCCAGAUCCAGCGCCGGUGGUAGGAGCCGUAGCUCGACUACAGUAAUUCCCCAGCUCGGGCGGCUUGAAACUGCUCGGGCUGAAUAGCAUUUGCUGUUCCGUCCUGCGGCCGCCUCCCGCCGCGGCUGCCGCGCUCCCUGCAAAGCAGCUCUCAUUAUCCCGGAAGUUGUGCUGACACAGUCUCGCUGCCACCAGAAGUUUGUCAACAUCAAACUUCUCCUGUGUGGGGUACGUUCACCUUCCACGAGUAUUUAAUCGAGCCAACAAGCAAACAAACAAACCCAAAUAAACCUGCCCGUG